Epinephelus fuscoguttatus (brown-marbled grouper) is the source of this 773-nucleotide long non-coding RNA. RefSeq lists it as uncharacterized. The transcript is spliced from 4 exons. The record is from RefSeq and is a predicted model, not a curated record. NCBI's taxonomy places the organism in Eukaryota, Metazoa, Chordata, Actinopteri, Perciformes, Serranidae.
GUAUAAACGAGACGUACAAUAAAUAUUAAAUGGGGAGAAGAAACAGCAAAAUAAACAAAAAAGGAGAAUAUAACAAUACUAUAAGUCAGGGUCUAAUAUUACUGUAUUAUGAUGAUUGUUUGUGAUGCAGGUCGGACGUGUUGUGGCAGAGGGAGAAAAACCAACCUGCGAGAAACCUCAUCGAUGGAUGUAAGGGCAGCAUUGGAUGCAUUUUGAUAAGGUAAUGGGAACACUGCAUGGACAGACUCCACCAGAUUGCUUUGCCAGAUUGCCAGUUUUUUUUAAAGUUUUAAAAGGCCAAAGUUGAAUGUGUGUAGUUGUAGCGUAAUUUGAAAGCCAUACAUAUGAUGUGCUGCCUGAAAAUAUGGAAUGCAUAUAUAAUCUAUCUACAUGUCUUAUGUCACUGUAUGAACUGUGAUUCACUUGUUUAUAAAGCUUUUUGUUAAUCUAAACUCUAUUGUAUAAUUUGCACCUUUUUUGGAAGCUAUGAUGGGGAAAAAUAGCUGCUAUAUCUUCAAUAAACAGUUGAGGAAACUAUUGUAUCUUGUAUUUUUAAGGAGGAAGCAUUAAUGUUUAAAUGUGCGUAAAAGCUGUCUGGAAUAUGAUAAAGACGUGGUUCAAGCUUUUUGUGUGUAGAACUUAGUCUCGUACCAGAACAUUUAUACUUAAUUGCACAAAAGUUGCAUGUUUUCUAAAAUAUAUCAAUAGGGGUAUAACAGAACAGUACAAUGCUUACAAAGUGCAAUAACACACAAUCAAGACUAAAGCUGAGA